RNAcentral lists this ribosomal RNA (301 nucleotides) under uncultured bacterium. RNAcentral's name for it is "partial 16S ribosomal RNA". It matches the Rfam family "Bacterial small subunit ribosomal RNA", at positions 509 to 807 of the family's 1533-position model. The record is from RNAcentral.
CAGCCGCCGCGGGAAUAUGGAGGGUGCAAGCGUUAAUCGGAAUUACUGGGCGUAAAGCGUGCGUAGGCGGUUCGUUAAGUCUGUUGUGAAAGCCCCGGGCUCAACCUGGGAAUGGCAAUGGAUACUGGCGAGCUAGAGUGUGUCAGAGGAUGGUGGAAUUCCCGGUGUAGCGGUGAAAUGCGUAGAAAUCGGGAGGAACAUCAGUGGCGAAGGCGGCCAUCUGGGACAACACUGACGCUGAGGCACGAAAGCGUGGGGAGCAAACAGGAUUAGAUACCCCAGUAGUCCCUGUCUCUUAUAC